This 201-nucleotide long non-coding RNA is filed under the name Elaeis guineensis (African oil palm). RNAcentral describes it as "long non-coding RNA (EGUI_LNC067238)". Lineage: Eukaryota; Viridiplantae; Streptophyta; Magnoliopsida; Arecales; Arecaceae. The record is from RNAcentral.
UGAUUGUAUAUUGUUCUUGUUAUGUAGAUAAUUUCAUUAUUGUUUCUUCACUCUCAUUGCAAAGCAUCCUAGAUAAUAAUAAGUUGACCGGUCUGAAUUUUGUGGAGUGGAUGAGAAACUUGCACAUUAUUCUUACACAAGAAAAGAUCUCCUACAUUUUGGAUACUCCCAGCCUUGAUUUUAUUAAGGAAGAUGCUACUG